GGUAAAUGGUUUCUGGUAACUGGUAUUUUUUGUUGAAUUGUUUCUUUCUUUGUUUCUAUGUCUUUCUGUCAUUAUUAUUGUCACAACUUACAAUUGGCUACAUUACAGAUAUACAGCAAACGUAAAGAAUUUAGAAACCCAUCGACUCAUCCCAGGGACAAAAGUUGUUAUCACAAAGAAUGUGAUAGCAUAUAAGAUUGAUCGUUCAUUCUGGGUUUAUAAUUUUGCCAUUCAAUAAGAAAAUGACCUAUUGAAGAAGCUUAACAAACCUCUCUCUGCACAUUGCAGGUGAAUCUUGGGUUUUUAUUAUAAAAAAAUUUAUUACAGGUUUUGUCUAGACAGACACAUCACGUGAAAGAGUCUUCUACCACCGUGAAAUAAUAGCUGUAUGGUGGGUCUCAAAAUGGAGAAGGUGGCAACUCAGAAAUCCCAUGCUCUUGUCUCCCUCCGUCCCUCUGUCAUCUUUCAUUGGUUCUUCGGUCAAAGUAACAGGAUUAAAAAGUACAAGGAAGAAGUUGGCGACAACUGGCUUUCAUAAAAAUAAAUAAAAAAAUUAUAUUACAUUCAUCGUCGGAUGGGGAUCCAACGGUGGAAUAAUGGGAUCUAAGCAAAAGAAGCAAAAAAAAAGGAAUGCCUGUUUUGUCAGACACAACUUUAAUCCUGUUUGUUUCUCACCUUCCCUUCCUCCAAUGGUCGAGAUUACUCCAUCCAUUAUUAAUACUCUCAUCAGUCAUAUGAUUGUAACCACCCACAAGGCCAUAAUCCCACAUUCCCACAUCCCACGGUUUUAAAAUCAUCAUCAUCAAUUUAUAUUAUUAUUAAUUUAGAGUUAGGGUUCUCAAUGUGGUUACGAUAAUUA
Molecule: long non-coding RNA, 859 nt
Filed under: Zostera marina
Lineage: Eukaryota; Viridiplantae; Streptophyta; Magnoliopsida; Alismatales; Zosteraceae
Description: long non-coding RNA (ZMAR_LNC001155)
Source: RNAcentral